This 1466-nucleotide ribosomal RNA is filed under the name Pseudoalteromonas sp. avm16. RNAcentral describes it as "bacterial SSU rRNA". It matches the Rfam family "Bacterial small subunit ribosomal RNA". Lineage: Bacteria; Pseudomonadati; Pseudomonadota; Gammaproteobacteria; Alteromonadales; Pseudoalteromonadaceae. The record is from RNAcentral.
GGGGGGGAUUGAACGCUGGCGGCAGGCCUAACACAUGCAAGUCGAGCGGGAACAUUUCUAGCUUGCUAGAAGAUGACGAGCGGCGGACGGGGGAGUAAUGCUUGGGAAUAUGCCUUAGGGGGGGGGACAACAGUUGGAAACGACUGCUAAUACCGCAUAACGUCUACGGACCAAAGGGGGCUUCGGCUCUCGCCCUUAGAUUAGCCCAAGUGGGAUUAGCUAGUUGGGGAGGGAAUGGCUCACCAAGGCGACGAUCCCUAGCUGGGUUGAGAGGAUGAUCAGCCACACUGGAACUGAGACACGGGCCAGACUCCUACGGGAGGCAGCAGUGGGGAAUAUUGCACAAUGGGCGCAAGCCUGAUGCAGCCAUGCCGCGUGUGUGAAGAAGGCCUUAGGGGUGUAAAGCACUUUCAGUAAGGAGGAAAGGGUAGUAGUUAAUACCUGCUAGCUGUGACGUUACUUACAGAAGAAGCACCGGCUAACUCCGUGCCAGCAGCCGCGGGAAUACGGAGGGGGCGAGCGUUAAUCGGAAUUACUGGGCGUAAAGCGUACGCAGGCGGGUUGUUAAGCGAGAUGUGAAAGCCCCGGGCUCAACCUGGGAACUGCAUUUCGAACUGGCAAACUAGAGUAUGAUAGAGGGGGGGAGAAUUUCAGGGGUAGCGGGGAAAUGCGUAGAGAUCUGAAGGAAUACCGAUGGCGAAGGCAGCCACCUGGGGCAAUACUGACGCUCAUGUACGAAAGCGUGGGGAGCAAACGGGAUUAGAUACCCCGGGAGUCCACGCCGUAAACGAUGUCUACUAGGAGCUGGGGGCUUCGGACAACUUUUCCAAAGCUAACGCAUUAAGUAGACCGCCUGGGGAGUACGGCCGCAAGGGUAAAACUCAAAUGAAUUGACGGGGGCCCGCACAAGCGGGGGAGCAUGUGGGUUAAUUCGAUGCAACGCGAAGAACCUUACCUACACUUGACAUACAGAGAACUUACUAGAGAUAGUUUGGGGCCUUCGGGAACUCUGAUACAGGGGCUGCAUGGCUGUCGUCAGCUCGUGUUGUGAGAUGUUGGGGUAAGUCCCGCAACGAGCGCAACCCCUAUCCUUAGUUGCCAGCGAUUCGGGCGGGAACUCUAAGGAGACUGCCGGGGAUAAACCGGAGGAAGGGGGGGACGACGUCAAGUCAUCAUGGCCCUUACGUGUAGGGCUACACACGUGCUACAAUGGCGCAUACAGAGUGCUGCAAGCUCGCGAGAGUUAGCGAAUCACUUAAAGUGCGUCGUAGUCCGGAUUGGAGUCUGCAACUCGACUCCAUGAAGUCGGAAUCGCUAGUAAUCGCGGAUCAGAAUGCCGCGGGGAAUACGUUCCCGGGCCUUGUACACACCGCCCGUCACACCAUGGGAGUGGGGUGCUCCAGAAGUAGGGAGCUUAACCUUAGGGAGGGCGCUUACCACGGAGUGAUUCAUGACUGGGGGGAAAA